UGGGGAAUCUUGCGCAAUGGGCGAAAGCCUGACGCAGCAACGCCGCGUGAGCGAAGACGGCCUUCGGGUUGUAAAGCUCUGUCAGGAGGGACGAAGCCACUCGGGUGAACAGCCCAGAGGGUGACGGUACCUCCAGAGGAAGCCCCGGCUAACUACGUGCCAACAGCCGCGGUAAUACGUAGGGGGCGAGCGUUGUCCGGAAUCAUUGGGCGUAAAGCGCGUGUAGGCGGCUCGGCAAGUCCGGUGUGAAAGCUCGAGGCUCAACCUCGAGUCUGCAUCGGAAACUGCCUUGCUAGAGUCCGGGAGAGGAGACUGGAAUUCCUGGUGUAGCGGUGAAAUGCGCAGAUAUCAGGAAGAACACCGGUGGCGAAGGCGGGUCUCUGGGACGGUACUGACGCUGAGACGCGAAAGCGUGGGGAGCAAACAG
Molecule: ribosomal RNA, 427 nt
Filed under: uncultured bacterium
Lineage: Bacteria
Description: bacterial SSU rRNA
Rfam family: Bacterial small subunit ribosomal RNA
Source: RNAcentral